This is a long non-coding RNA of Chelonoidis abingdonii (Abingdon island giant tortoise), 2718 nucleotides long. RefSeq lists it as uncharacterized. The record is from RefSeq and is a predicted model, not a curated record. Lineage: Eukaryota; Metazoa; Chordata; Testudines; Testudinidae.
AUAUUUUAAUUUCUCCUCACGGUUUAUCAUAAAUAUUUACAAAAGACAUUGUACAAUGUAGAACGGUGUGAAAUCCGCAGGUUUGACAAAUGGUUUUGCAAAUAGAAAGGGGUUAAGCAAGCAGCUAACAGACACAUGUACUAUACAGGUUGCUGAUUACAACGGGCUCAGCAAACUAGCGGAACAAAACUAGUUCUAAAAUAGAUUUGCCUGUAAGGUAAAAAAAGAUUUUUCAGGGGUAAUCUGGGAGGAAUCUCAAAACAGUGGUUUGAUUAUGCAUGGUAAUAUUGUCUCUUGUAAGAAUCAAUACUCUCAUUCUUCAUGGAAGUAUCUGGACUCUUCUUUGAACAAUCUGGUUUUAAACUGUGUAUUUCUCUGAGUUACCUACAGAACUUGUUUUAAUUAGAAUUUAUUUUUACUUUAAAUGUUCAAUUAGCAAAUACAGAAUAAGGAAAACAGCCAUUGUGUUUCAUAGCUUUCCCUACAAUUAAAGUAAUAAUUAGAAUCCAUCUUUCAGAAACAAUUAUAAAAACAGAAUCCGAUCACAAUUCUGAGAGUCCUGAUUUUCUGUGUUGCUCCAUAUCAAGGGCCAAAUUCAGCUCUAGCAGUAAAAUUAUAUCAGAUAUUAUUGACCCCAGGGUUAGAAAUAUAUACAUUUCAGACAUCUCAGUAAUUUUCUCUAAUGUCUAUACAGUAUACAGCUGUUCCAGUUAAGUAUAGGAGUUAAUACAUCGCAAACGAUUAUAGUAUCCCACCUUUCAGAGACAAAUUGUGAAAUAGAGGAAGUUUGACAUCUAGUGGCUAUUUAGGGUAAUUUAUUUCUUUUUAUUGAAAUAUCCUAGGAAAUUUUCUAUACACCAUUCUGCACUCUUAUCUAGAUGCAUUUGACUUCUGCUGAGUAUCAGCUAUCACCUUUAAUGUUAGGCACACGUCUACAUCAGUUGCAAUCUCUUCCAUUAAACUAAUGGUAUUCAUAAUUGUACAUUUAGAAGACACACUACUUACAAACUGAACCUCUGUUUUCAAAUUGUAAAAAAAUAUUCUAAAACAAAAGACCUACACAUCUCAAACAUUUUCAGCGCUUCUCUUUCAUUUCACAAAUUUGGAGGGGAAGCAUAUAUGGCAUAAUCCUUUGACUGACUCACUCAUUUAUCUGCACACACAAUGUACGAGGUAAGACAUCCAUAUCUGGAUACUAACACCAUAUUGUUUUAAUGCAACAUUAACGGGGCUGCACUCAAGAGUGAGCUGUCAUAACUGGACCACAUGUUUUGCAAGAAGAUUAUAAAAUUAGAAAUAAGAAUGCAAAAUAUAGCAAUUAUAUAUUAAAGGAUCGUAGCAGCACAAAAAAGUAUUUGCAGCUAGUAUUAAGUAAUACAAAACUCUCUCAAUUUCUCCAAAAUACAAGUACUGUAAAAGGUAUUAUAUAAUUAAGUGCCCUUUUCACAAAAUUUAAUACACCCCUAUAUUGCCACUUGCAAACCACCUAUAGCCAAUACAUACACACACGUUUCUCCCACUACUUUGUGCAGUUACAUAACUCAACUGUAGUUCCAGCACUCUCAAUUAAUAGAUAGAGAUAAAGGCCAGGAUUCUUUCAAAAGUGGCUAGUGAUUUUGGAUGCCUCAAUGUUUAGGUCCCCAACCUGAGACACCUAAUAUUGUUGGGCAAAGCUUGCAAAACUGUAUUUACAUAAGACAUUAAGCAGGAAAAGGCCAUUUAAGUCCAACAUACUUUACCACUUCUGACUAGUCUCAAUCCCACUUUAUUACUUUUUAACGUCUCCAGCUCCUCAAUUCCCACUUUUCUCCAAACAUAAAAUUAGUCAAUAUAAUCUUACAUCUGCUCUCUUUAAAUAGCUAUGCUCUAUAACAGUGGUUUUCAGCCUGUGGUCCAUGGACCCCUGGAGGUCCGUAGACUAUGUCUAAGAUUUCAAAGGGAUCCAUCCCUCCAUUCAAAAUUUUUUAGGGAACUGCAAAUGAAAAGAGGUUGAAAGUCACUGCUUUAACACAUAUUUCCAAGGCAAUAAUAUCCCUCGAACUAUAGUGACCAAAUUGCUUUAUUACAGUUACAGUAUUGCUACAUUGGGUUUGUGUUCCAUCCCUCUACUAAUAUAUUUAAAUAAUAAUACUUUGUAUUGAACUAUUUUGUCUCUCUCCUUCCCCACCAGUCACAUUUGUGCUGUGGGACAACGUUUUAACAUUGUUUGUCCAGAACUCCCAAAUUCUUUUCCUGGUCAGCAUACUGGAUAAUUUAAUACAAAUCCUAUAACUUGGUUUCUUGCUCCCAGAUCAGUGUUUUUUCUUUUGUUUUUACUUGACUACAAAAAUUGUACACAAUACUUCUAAAAAGGGCAAAGAAUUGUAAACCGCAGGGUCCCCUUUUGUACUAUAGGACUUUAUCUUACAAUUUUGCAGUGUGGAAACCAAAUUUUCAAAGAAAGCUUAGAGGUACACAACAAACAUAUCUCAAACUGCGCAAUUAGAGAAAGUCCUACAGAAGUGACAUGGAUAAAUACUUUUUCAUCCAAUUCUUAAAAGAAAAUUACAAAUAAAAGCUUUUUUCUUUAAGUAUUAAAACAUUCAGAUGAACACAGCUAUUCCUACACAUUGUACGUAUCUUUGGGUUAAAGCUUUUUAGCAAAAAUAUAACCAUGUGUUGUAAGCACUCUAGUUAGAUACGGAUCAAUACAAUUUUGAGAUUCUCUGUCAUGAAAAA